CUCCUCACGCCUGCACUGCUUAGGAAAGUGGAAGAAGAAGUUUGAGGGAGGGACCUAUGGAAAAAGAAAGGUGUCACCAACACACCUGCUGAGCAUUACCCUCCUGAUGGCUUGUAGAGGGUUUGCUCGGGAGAGGCAGAGAGAGCAGUUAUUGGCGGGGCUGCUUAGGGAAGACAAGGAAUGUACAGUUCCCACUUCGGAUUGUGCAUUCGGGGGGGCCUUCUCUUUUGAGCCUCGCGAAGUGGGGAAUCCUAGCUGAGCGGAGCGGUGAUACAUAAGGAGCAAAAGCCUCCAAAUCCGUGCACCAGCAGAGCUCCGUAGAAACAGCCUACCCGACCUAUUGGGCUGAAGAUCAAAGCCAUCUUUUCUGAGCAUCUUUCCCUAUCCAAGUCCAAACAUUCAGAAUUCGUCAAAAAGUUCAACGGCCAGCCCAACCUCAGGCCCGAUCUGCUGCCCGUUUUCGUAUCAGCUGCCUCCCCAUCAUUUGUAGCCGGACCGAGCCUGGCCUGACACAUGUCAAGUGAUUGGGAUAAUUAUACUGACCUAUCAACGGGGGAUGUGAGGAACAACUCAAUAAAGCAGCAAAUGGUUGUUUAAAUGACGAUGCCGAAUUUUGAGGGACCCCAGAGAUGCCUGUCCAAUAGACACUGAGGAAAGUGGAAGAUGGAAGAGAUCGAGGCAGACAGAAACGCCAUCAACUUGCCUGGAUUUACGUGGCGAACCAGGGUCCUGGUGAUGGACGUGCCGGCGUAGGGCUGCGUGAUUCAUUGGCUUCCCCUCGGUUCCUGGAGCCCUAAGCCUGAAAAAUGGAGGGAGGAAGAAGCUUGUCAGGAUCCCUCUUCCUUUAUAUGGAAGAUCGUAUGUGCCCAACCAGCCCCACUAUGGUGAGCCUCAUGUGGGCUAUGUGAGCUAUGUCUGGUCCGAUUACAUUGUAUCUACCUCAGCGCUUGGCAUAUA
Ornithorhynchus anatinus (platypus) is the source of this 957-nucleotide long non-coding RNA. RefSeq lists it as uncharacterized. The record is from RefSeq and is a predicted model, not a curated record. Lineage: Eukaryota; Metazoa; Chordata; Mammalia; Monotremata; Ornithorhynchidae. The transcript has 5 exons.